Molecule: ribosomal RNA, 392 nt
Filed under: uncultured bacterium
Lineage: Bacteria
Description: bacterial SSU rRNA
Rfam family: Bacterial small subunit ribosomal RNA
Source: RNAcentral
GACGAACGCUGGCGGCGUGCUUAACACAUGCAAGCCGAGCGGUAAGGCCCUUUCGGGGGUACACGAGCGGCGAACGGGUGAGUAACACGUGGGUGACCUGCCCUUAGCUCUGGGAUAAGCCUGGGAAACUGGGUCUAAUACCGGAUAUGACUCCAUGACGCAUGUUGUGGGGUGGAAAGCCUUGUGCGGCUAGGGAUGGGCCCGCGGCCUAUCAGCUUGUUGGUGGGGUGAUGGCCUACCAAGGCGACGACGGGUAGCCGGCCUGAGAGGGCGACCGGCCACACUGGGACUGAGACACGGCCCAGACUCCUACGGGAGGCAGCAGUGGGGAAUCUUGCGCAAUGGGCGAAAGCCUGACGCAGCGACGCCGCGUGAGGGAUGACGGCCUCGGU